GCGGGCGUGGCGAAAUUGGCAGACGCGCGGGAUUUAGGUUCCCGUGACCGAAAGGUCUUGCAGGUUCAAGUCCUGUCGCCCGCA
Molecule: transfer RNA, 84 nt
Filed under: Planctomycetota bacterium
Lineage: Bacteria; Pseudomonadati; Planctomycetota
Description: Planctomycetes bacterium (mine drainage metagenome) tRNA-Leu
Rfam family: tRNA
About the family: Transfer RNA (tRNA) molecules are approximately 80 nucleotides in length.
Source: RNAcentral